GAACCCUUAGAGUCAGUCUAUGGAGCUUGAGGCAGCCGAGGUCAUCCUGGCGCAUACCUGCCUCUUACUGUCACUGGAUGCGCGCAAACUGAUCUGUGAGAGCCAUCAGAGGAAUGGACUGAGCAAGGCGCUCGUGGAAAUGACUGAAAACUUGGGGGGCUGCAAGAUUCAGACUGCUCUGUACUGAAGCAGUAGCGAGAUACUGAACAGUCACUUCUUUUGAUGCCUGAGGGACAAGCCUGAUUGAAAUACGCACUAUGUGAGAUGACACCACAUAGGAGACUGGCAGCAUUCAGCUCCCGCCUGUGAUGUAACUAUCUUCAAGCCCUCGGCAGAGCCCAUGCAUCAGGAUGAACUGAAACUGCUGGGGAGAAGCACAUCUCUUUGGGCUGUGAUGGAAGGCCAUGAAACACAGGACCAAAGCCAAAUUAACCUUCCUAAUUAUUUUCCCAUCUUUAUGCAGUCCUCUAGGUAGCUGCUUGUUUGCCACAGAUAUUUGUGCAUAACUCACAGGAAUGUAUGGGAUCAUAUGAUGGAUCACACACCGUUAGGUUUUUAUUGUAAUGGUGUUUUAAAUAUAUGUAGUCUGGAUUCUGCCCUCCAAGCUGCCCAGGGAAAUGGAAAUCCAUGGGAAGAAGAUGGAAUUUCAGAAAGCUUAGCUUGAAUUUUACUUUGCUUCUUCUCUCCCAACAGAACAUAACAAAAAUUUUAACAUUUCAAUUUGCCAUUUUCUGUGGUAUGGAAAUUUCUGUGGGUAACUAUAUUGGUGUAUCUUCUGUUUACAUUUUACAGUUCUGUCCCCUCAAAGGAUGAAAAAGUACGUUAUAUAACCCACCUAAAUUUUGCUUUCAUCAUAACUGUCAGAGACAAUAAUGAAAAAUAAUGUCCUGACAACCAUUACUAAAUAGUGGGAAAGGUAUUUUGAGGGCACAUCUUUUUCCUUAGAUAAAGUACUACUAUGAAAGACACAAACACUGUAACUUUGAGUUAGCCUUUAUCACAGUUGUACUAUCUGGACUUGGCUGACCUAAUGAAAUGUUGCUGUGACAUAUUCCUGUGUACUUUUGAAUGCAUUUAAUUAGAGCUCAGUAGUGACACUUAUACAACCUGGGGAGCCUAACUAACUCUGGCUUUAAAAUACUUAUAUGGAGAAAAAACACAUUUACGUGUGAUCAGGUUUAUUGUGAAAGAAAAGCCUCUUUCUUUAAAUCAUUAAAUGUGGACAGAACCUGCACAUGACCUGACAGUGAAUGAAGUUACUUAUCUCUGAUUACAUGCCAGAUAUAAAUUGCUGCAACCAAUAAAAGUUAAGGUCAAAGUCUGAAA
Long non-coding RNA from Chiroxiphia lanceolata (lance-tailed manakin), 1326 nucleotides. RefSeq lists it as uncharacterized. NCBI's taxonomy places the organism in Eukaryota, Metazoa, Chordata, Aves, Passeriformes, Pipridae. The transcript is spliced from 3 exons. The record is from RefSeq and is a predicted model, not a curated record.